This 468-nucleotide ribosomal RNA is filed under the name uncultured bacterium. RNAcentral describes it as "partial 16S ribosomal RNA". It matches the Rfam family "Bacterial small subunit ribosomal RNA", at positions 28 to 507 of the family's 1533-position model. The record is from RNAcentral.
GACGAACGCUGGCGGCGUGCUUAACACAUGCAAGUCGAACGGAAAGGCCCUGCUUUUGUGGGGUGCUCGAGUGGCGAACGGGUGAGUAACACGUGAGUAACCUGCCCUUGACUUUGGGAUAACUUCAGGAAACUGGGGCUACUACAGGAUAGGAGCUCCUGCUGCAUGGUGGGGGUUGGAAAGUUUCGGCGGUUGGGGAUGGACUCGCGGCUUAUCAGCUUGUUGGUGGGGUAGUGGCUUACCAAGGCUUUGGAGGAUAGCCGGCCUGAGAGGGUGACCGGGCACAUGGGGACUGAGAGACGGCCCAGACUGCUACGGGAGGCAGUAGUGGGGAAUAUUGCACAAUGGGCGGAAGCCUGAUGCAGCAACGCCGCGUGCGUGAUGACGGCCUUCGGGGUGUGAACCGCUUUCGCCUGUGACGAAGCGUGAGUGACGGUAAUGGGUAAAGAAGCACCGGCUAACUACGUG